ACGCGGCGGUGCGCACCAGAAGCGAGGUCCAGAGUGGCAGCAACACGGCGGCCAGCAUCAGGUCGC
Molecule: small RNA, 66 nt
Filed under: Sinorhizobium meliloti 2011
Lineage: Bacteria; Pseudomonadati; Pseudomonadota; Alphaproteobacteria; Hyphomicrobiales; Rhizobiaceae
Description: putative ncRNA
Source: RNAcentral